UACGAAGGGGGCUAGCGUUGUUCGGAAUUACUGGGCGUAAAGCGCGCGCAGGUGGUUUCUCAAGUCAGUGGUGAAAGCCCGGAGCUCAACUCCGGAACUGCCAUUGAAACUGUGGAGCUAGAGGACGAGAGAGGUGAGUGGAAUUCCCAGUGUAGAGGUGAAAUUCGUAGAUAUUGGGAAGAACACCGGUGGCGAAGGCGGCUCACUGGCUCGUUAUUGACGCUGAGGCGCGAAAGCGUGGGGAGCAAACAGG
This 253-nucleotide ribosomal RNA is filed under the name uncultured bacterium. Its description in RNAcentral is "partial 16S ribosomal RNA". It matches the Rfam family "Bacterial small subunit ribosomal RNA", at positions 524 to 776 of the family's 1533-position model. The record is from RNAcentral.